CAGCAGCCACGGUAAUACGUAGGGUGCAAGCGUUAAUCGGAAUUACUGGGCGUAAAGCGUGCGCAGGCGGUUCUAUAAGACAGAUGUGAAAUCCCCGGGCUCAACCUGGGGACUGCAUUUGUGACUGUAGAGCUCGAGUACGGUAGAGGGGGAUGGAAUUCCGCGUGUAGCAGUGAAAUGCGUAGAUAUUGGGAAGAACACCGGUGGCGAAGGCGGCAACCUGGUCCUUGACUGACGCUGAGGCGCGAAAGCGUGGGGAGCAAACAGGAUUAGAUACCCCCGUAGUCCCUGUCUCUUAUAC
RNAcentral lists this ribosomal RNA (301 nucleotides) under uncultured bacterium. Its description in RNAcentral is "partial 16S ribosomal RNA". It matches the Rfam family "Bacterial small subunit ribosomal RNA", at positions 509 to 807 of the family's 1533-position model. The record is from RNAcentral.